GCUACGGGAGGCAGCAGUGGGGAAUAUUGCACAAUGGGGGAAACCCUGAUGCAGCAACGCCGCGUGAGUGAAGAAGGUUUUCGGAUUGUAAAGCUCUGUUAGCAGGGAAGAGGAAGGACGGUACCUGCAAAGGAAGCCACGGCUAACUAAGGGCCAGCAGCCGCGGUAAUACGUAGUAGGCAAGAGUUGUUCGGAAUAACUGGGCGUAAAGGAUGCGGAGGCGGUUAAACAAGUUAUCUGUUAAAUAUAUAGGCUUAACCUUUAGAAAGCUUAUAAAACUGUUUAACUAGUGUGCAGGAGAGGUAAGUGGAAUUCCUAGUGUAGCGGUGAAAUGCGGUGAGAUUAGGAAGAACACCAGUGGCGAAGGCGACUUACUGGACUGUAACUGACGCUGAGGCAUGAGAGCAUGGGUAGCAAACAGGAUUAGAUACCCGUGUAGUC
This 441-nucleotide ribosomal RNA is filed under the name uncultured bacterium. RNAcentral describes it as "partial 16S ribosomal RNA". It matches the Rfam family "Bacterial small subunit ribosomal RNA", at positions 338 to 795 of the family's 1533-position model. The record is from RNAcentral.